Molecule: non-coding RNA, 472 nt
Organism: Microcebus murinus (gray mouse lemur)
Lineage: Eukaryota; Metazoa; Chordata; Mammalia; Primates; Cheirogaleidae
Source: RefSeq, a predicted model, not a curated record
UUUGCUUCAGACACUUCACGACACGGGUGCAAAACGCGCCCUCAGCUUCCUCAGCCAGUGGCUUUCGUGCGUGUGUGCGGGUGGCCUGUCUGUUGUGGUGGGGUCUGGGGGAUUUUGUGGGGUUUUUUGUUUUGUUUUGUUUUGUUUUUGGUGUUUUGGGGUUGGAGGUGCGGGGGUGGGGCAGGCCCGGCAACGACGACCCUUGGUGACGAUGACGAUCGCGGUGGUUGGAAAUGAAGACGAGGAGAAGCAGGGGAGGGCGGGCGUCCUUCACCACCGCAGCCCAGGAAGCCGCAAAGUCGCGUUCCCGUCGGCGAGAUGACUUCUUCGUUGGGUUUCAUUUAAGGAACGUCGGUGCUGUGGGGCCCGAGAUUGAUGUUUUUCUGCCAGUCCACAGUCUGUAGGCCGCGGCUAACACCCGAGGAAACCCUUGAAUGAAGGAUGGAUUAAAGAGGCUCUUUCGCUACUGAUA